Molecule: long non-coding RNA, 4915 nt
Organism: Rhododendron vialii
Lineage: Eukaryota; Viridiplantae; Streptophyta; Magnoliopsida; Ericales; Ericaceae
Exons: 3
Source: RefSeq, a predicted model, not a curated record
UUUAUUAAAUUAUUUGUGUAUUUAUUUUCUUUCUUUCUCUGGCCCCUCUCUCUUGUGUUGAGCAUCUUAAAAGACAUCUCUGAAGACUAAAUUGUGAAUCUCUUCUUGUUUUGGGUACUGUUUAUGUAAAUGCUUGUUGCUGCAGGUUGAUUAUCUGCUAACCUCUGAUUUUAAAUCUACAUGGACAUUGACAUGCAGUGGCCAAAAGGUCAUCAUUUUUUGAUGAUACACUCAAGGAAAUUCUAGAAUUAACUGCCUUGGUAAAAGAUGACAUCACCGCACUUGAUGUAGCAGUAUCGGAUCUGCAAAGUGCAAAUUAAGUAUGAAGAGUUUGGUUGGUUUCUUGUCCUACAAACUUAGUCAUGAUAGCAUAACUACAAUUUCAAGAUGCCGCAUGCUUUUUGUGGGAGAAGGAAGCCUGCUUAAUUACCUUUGUGCAUUCAACAUCUGAUGAUUCAGCAUGGAUUUGUAUUAGCAUGAUCUGUUUCUUGUGUGCAUUCAACAUCUGAUGAUUGAUCAUGGAUUUGUAUUAGCCUGAUCCGUUUCUUGUGUGCAGUCUUGCAAAUGUUGAUCCAAUUGACGGUGCUAGAAAUAUUACUGGGUUGAAUCCUGAGACUACAUUAGUUGUGGUGGUUUCAAAGACUUUUACAACAGCUGAAACGAUGUUGAAUGCUCGGACCUUGAGGGAAUGGAUUUCAUCUGCUUUGGGGUUGGUGUUAUAGCAGAAGUUUUCCUUUGUUUGAGAUGUAGGCAUACUGCACAGUGCAAGAUUAGAUUUGAAUUUCUCAGGGAGAGAAUAUUCAAUCAGAAAUUAUUAUAUUUACAGGAGUUUGAAUAUUGACUUUAUCGGAAAAGGUAAAUUAGUUGUCUUCAUGUGAUUCUUUGCUCUGGGCAGACUAUAAUCUGCAAGUAAUUGGAAAUCCUUUGAUUGUUCUGGAUGCCAAUGAACUUAUUUGAAGCUAUUUCUGUUCAUCGGUAUAUGGUGAUGAUUCCAUCAGGAAAAUAAUUGAACACAAGGGGUAUAACCAAACUCUCUCAGAUUAUCUCUGGUCAUAUGUGUGAAAUGAUUUGGUCAUAUGUGUGAGAAAUGAUUUGGUCAUAUGUGUGAGAUAUGAUUUCGCAGGCCCAAGGCAGUUGCAAAGGAUAUGGUUGCAUCAGUACUAAUCUAAUGGUAUUACACUGUUCUGUUUCCUCUUGUGCUAGGGGGUUAACAUCUCCUGUCGUCUUUGAAGAUAUCAGUUUUGUGCAAAAGAGUAAAAAAAAUGGAUAGUAACUGCUUGCUAAUCCAAUAUGUAAAUGCAUUUUAUUCCUCACUUUUGUGUUUUAAGCCUACUCAUUCCUUUUUAUGUGGUUGAGUUACUAGAAAUCAAUUGUUGAGUGCUAUUUUGAUCAAGUUGAUUAAUGUCCACUUUUAUAACUCCUCCUGUGUAUUUUACUUAAUUGUCAGUGCAGCUUGUAGAACUGUUUGGCAUUGAUCCUAAUAAUGCCUUUGCAUUUUGGGACUGGGUCGGAGGCAGAUAUAGCGUGUGUAGCGCAGUUGGAGUAUUAGCUUUAUCUCUCCAAUGUGGGUUCUCUGUGGUCGAAAAAUAGAGUAACUCGCCCCCUCUCUUAAAUUCAGCAAUUUUUUUUUUUUUUGACGUGCUAUUUUAGUCGGAAUUAUAGAUUGUUUGACACUUUAUUCUUCCUGUAACAUGUCCCUCAGAUGAAUUGAAUGCCUAAGUUUUGUUGUGCAAGUCAAACAAGCCUUACAAUUGCAAAUUUUCUCAAACUUAGUUGAUGAUAUGAUGGCACUUCUGCUUUGCAUGAGUAUUUGGCUUCCUCGGGUCCUUCAGAACACUGGCAAUAGGAGGACUGAGGUCUGAGGAGUCUUUCACAUGUAAACAACAGGAAAAUGAAAGGAAACUACCAAGUGUUGCCCCCAAACCAAAUCCACAGCCUUGGAUUCUAUAGCAUUGUAUGGUCUGAAGUUGCUUCCCUUAAGCUUAAACCUCCAUCUCUUGGUUGACAGUACAAGAUUUAUCCAUUCAACAUACUAGAUCCAUAGAUGAUCUACAUUGCUUUCUCAGUUUGCGAUGUUUUCAGUUUCAUGCCAUCUGCAGUUUACCUAUUUAUCUUAGCCCCUCGGUUUCCUUAGAGACUACUUUUGUUGGAAGUUCCCUGGUUUUAUUUAUUCAUCUAUUUUUAAUUUUCUCUUAAAAAGGUUCCUGCAGGGAGCUUCAAGCAUCGACACUACUAUGUAUUUCUCCUAUUUGUAUUCUUUCUAUCAAAUCCGUAGCCGUAGGUAUAGUGAAUGUCUGUGUUCUUGUACUCAUGACAUAACAACAGAGAAUUUGUGUACCUUCUAAACUCCUUUUUGUCUGGGUUGUUAAGUUUAGAACCCCUUAUUUGUGGGUUUCAUGCCCCCACAGCUGGGUGAAAUAUACGACUUUGUUAUAGAAGAUUCUUGUGAUCCACCUAGGAGGCACUUUUCAACAAAAAUUUAUGAGGGAUACUUAUCAAUGGCAUUGCAUAAUUUCUGCAGGUGCUUUUAGGUUUAUUGAGCAUAUGGAAUGUUUGUUUCUUGGACACCCUGCAAGAGUGAGUACAUCAGUGCUACAAAGUUUGAGAAUUUCUAUCUUUAUGGGUGCUACCAGAUGAUAUGUUUUCAUAAAAGUUAAAGUUGACAUUGUCUCGGAAAUUCCAGGCCAUUUUACCCUAUUCUCAAGCCUUGGAGAACCUUGCGCUUCAUAUUCAACAGGCAUGUUUACCAUUACUUCUGCUUCUUUUUUUAAAUUUUUUUAUUGUCUCGGAAAUUCCUUGAUAAUUCUCUUACACCGUGCUAAACUUGCUCAAAAUUUUGGUUUGUAUGGAAAGCAACGGAAAAGGGGUGUCAAAGAAGAAUACCAUCAUCGAGUACUGAAUCGGAUUCUGAGAUCACCAGCCUAUCGAACCUUUAAAUGAGGGGUUCUUCUCUUUCCCCCUGAGGGAAAGCCCUUUCCAGAUGGAGUAGUGCAUCUCUGUCUUGAAAGCCCCCCCUAAAGAUAGGAGUUCUUACCUCUACUGCCUAUCCAACCCGAAGACUCGUAUACGUGGUGGAGUGCUUUGAGUAGGAUCCGAUCCGAUCCCAGCAGUCAAAUCAGAAUUGAUGAAAUUGAGAUUUGAAAUCUGACAAAAACCGAUUCUAUGGCGAUUUCUAUGUAGAAAACUGAAUGAAGGGGGAGAAUGCGUGUUGAUGUAGCCUUUAUUGCCGCAGCUUUCUUUUCGUGAACUCGGUAAAGGAACGAAUCAAAGAUCUACUCUUAACUUAAUGGGUGAACUACUGAACGAGCCGAGAACAAGUGAUCUGGAGAAAGCACAGAGAAGAUAAAAAAGAUAAGGAUAUAAAUAUAGCUACUUGAGAGAUGGUAAUAAAUGGAACUACUUGGUUGAACAACAGCAAAGAAACAGAAUCUGCAGGGACGGACUGACAUAGUUCAAUUGCCGGAAAAGAGGGAUAACUAUGAGUUUGGGUAUGAGCCUGAUGAAGAAUUUGCACCGCCACAAUGGCAGAAAGUUAAAUUGAUUUCGGUGAACCAGGAACAAAAGGUCAGCACAGCUUUUACCAAUUCACCAGGUAAUUUACGAGCUCUAAAUUCUACUCCUAUAUUGAAACCAGCAAGUAAACGAGCUUCUUCUUCAUCUGAUGUUUCUUGGAGGUCAGUAAUAUAUCAUGUCUGAGGUAGCUACUAAUGGCAGUUGAAUACUUUUUUCUUUUCGAGUGUGUUGCAUAUGAUGACCUUUUGAUUAGAGGUGCUAUGCAAAACUCAAAUUUCUUCUUGAAUACUGUUGUAUAUGUACUCUUGAUGUCACUACAACACAUAUGGGCUUCAAUAGCAUAUUUUUAUAGCGUUUUUCCAAAAAUGCUAUUUUAGAGAUGCAAUAAUAGCGGACAUGCACUGUUUGGACGCAGAAGAGUUUGACAUAACGUUUCAUUAAAACUCUUCUUUCUCUUCUACAACAUGCAGCCGUGCACCUAAAUAUUAGACGCCACUAUCACAGCCUCUGAAAUUUCAAUCGAUUUCAUGAGAUGGCGCUAUAUUCCCAAGUCCCAACCUCGUGCGAACCGAUGAUGGCUGAAGCUGGAUCAAUUGCUUUGCUAGGGUUUGUUCCUCUCCUCUAGUUUUCAAUAACCUUCACACCCUAAUGAUCGACUAUUCUUCUGGUUUUUCUGCUUGCUCAGGAUCGAUUGCUGCUGUGCUAGGGUUUCAAUCCUGAGUUUGUUCUGUCUUCCACGGAUCCACCCAAAGGUUUGUUCCUCCUCCUCUAUUUUCUGAAAAGCUGAAGCUUCACACCCUACUAUAGUACUAUCUGACUUGAUUUUUCAUUCUGUCUUCUUGAUUCCGUUCUAUAGUUUGUUCGACAGUAUUUGGGGCUACUGUCUGCCACAUAUGAAUCCUAAGGCUCGGUUUGAAACAAACUUUUGUGCCCUAGUACCCUUGGAUAUUUGGACAAUAGAAUCCAGAAAAUACGAUAGAUGCAAAUGGGUACUCCUCGAACGAGAAGGAAAAAACUAUUGUAUUUUGAAAAACUGUUGUGCAAUUGAUCCAAAUAGGGCUUGAUUUUUGAGUGGUCGGUUUUUAAUCUUCAUCCAUUAGGAUUUGAUAAUGCAAUUCUCGUUUUCCCCCAAAUCUCUCCCGAAAUCUUUCAAAUUUUCUCCAAACAUCUUUCUUUUCUUGUUUGCCUCCGUUGCCGCAGCGCCUCCAUGAACUCGCAAUCAUAGAUGGUAAAGAUCUGAACCGUUUACCCCAACAGAUUUUGGAAAGUAUAAAUAGAGAAAAAUUUGUAAAGUUGUCGACUUGUCGAGUAUUUUUUACUAUUUUCUACAUUAGUUUGCUGUGGGAUCAACAAUUAAUUGUGUAUUCUAGAUUAGUUUUGGUAGAUGUAGAUUUCAUUGUGU